GGAGAGCGAGCAUCACUGGUGUGGGCCUUGGGCUUCAAACCCAACGGGUGUUUAGGUGUUCUAAGCACCGCAAAGUUCGAUUCUUUGGCUCUCUU
Molecule: transfer RNA, 95 nt
Filed under: Helicobacter bizzozeronii
Lineage: Bacteria; Pseudomonadati; Campylobacterota; Epsilonproteobacteria; Campylobacterales; Helicobacteraceae
Description: tRNA-Sec
Rfam family: Selenocysteine transfer RNA
Source: RNAcentral